AUACGUAGGGAGCGAGCGUUGUCCGGAAUUACUGGGCGUAAAGGGCGCGUAGGCGGCGCUUCAAGUCGUCUGUCAAAUGGGAGGGCUUAACCCUUUUUCGCCGACGAAACUGGAGAGCUUGAGAAGCAGAGAGGCAAACAGAAUUCCUGGUGUAGCGGUGAAAUGCGUAGAUAUCAGGAAGAAUACCAGUGGCGAAGGCGGUUUGCUGGCUGCAUACUGACGCUGAAGCGCGAAAGCCAGGGGAGCAAACGGGAUUAGAUACCCCGGUAGUCCUGGCCGUAAACGAUGGACACUGGGUGUGGGGUAAGCAGUUACUCCGUGCCGCAGCUAACGCGCUAAGUGUCCCGCCUGGGGACUACGGUCGCAAGACUGAAACUCAAAGGAAUUGACGGGG
This 394-nucleotide ribosomal RNA is filed under the name uncultured bacterium. Its description in RNAcentral is "partial 16S ribosomal RNA". It matches the Rfam family "Bacterial small subunit ribosomal RNA", at positions 523 to 918 of the family's 1533-position model. The record is from RNAcentral.